CCUACGGGGGGCAGCAGUGGGGAAUCUUGCGCAAUGGGCGAAAGCCUGACGCAGCGACGCCGCGUGGGUGACGAAGGCCUUCGGGUCGUAAAACCCUGUUGCAGGGGACGAAGGAAGUGACGGUACCCUGCCAGAAAGCCCCGGCUAACUACGUGCCAGCAGCCGCGGUAAAACGUAGGGGGCGAGCGUUGUCCGGAAUUACUGGGCGUAAAGGGCUCGUAGGCGGUAACUCAAGUCAGUUGUGAAAACCGACGGCUUAACCGGAGGAUUGCAGUUGAUACUGGGUUACUUGAGGCAAGGAGAGGAAGGUGGAAUUCCCGGUGUAGCGGUGAUAUGCGUAGAUAUCGGGAGGAACCCCAGUGGCGAAGGCGGCCUUCUGGUCUUGACCUGACGCUGAGGAGCGAAAGCCAGGGUAGCGAACGGGAUUAGAUACCCCGGUAGUC
RNAcentral lists this ribosomal RNA (443 nucleotides) under uncultured Syntrophaceticus sp. Its description in RNAcentral is "bacterial SSU rRNA". It matches the Rfam family "Bacterial small subunit ribosomal RNA", at positions 338 to 795 of the family's 1533-position model. The record is from RNAcentral. Lineage: Bacteria; Bacillati; Bacillota; Clostridia; Thermoanaerobacterales; Thermoanaerobacterales Family III. Incertae Sedis.